AUUGAACGCUGGCGGCAGGCUUAACACAUGCAAGUCGAGCGAGCGGCGGCCGGGUGAGUAAUGUCUGGGAAACUGCCUGAUGGAGGGGGAUAACUACUGGAAACGGUGGCUAAUACCGCAUACCAUCGGAUGUGCCCAGAUGGGAUUAGCUAGUAGGGGGGGUAAUGGCUAACCUAGGCGAAGAUCCCUAGUUGGUCUGAGAGGAUGACCAGCAACACUGGAACUGAGAAACGGUCCAGACUCCUACGGUAGGCAGCAGUGGGUAAUAGUGCACAAUGGGCGCAAGCCUGAUGCAGCCAUGCCGCGUGUGUGAAGAAGGCCUUCGGGUUGUAAAGCACUUUCAGCGAGGAGGCGUUACUCGCAGAAGAAGCACCGGCUAACUCCGUGCCAGCCGCCGCGGUAAUAC
This 406-nucleotide ribosomal RNA is filed under the name uncultured bacterium. RNAcentral's name for it is "partial 16S ribosomal RNA". It matches the Rfam family "Bacterial small subunit ribosomal RNA", at positions 30 to 526 of the family's 1533-position model. The record is from RNAcentral.